GCGUCAUUUCAACCCUCAGGCCCAGCCUGGUGAUGGGGCGCCCGCGGUCUCGUGCCGCGGGGCCCUGAAAAGCAGCGGCGGGCUUUGCUGAUACCCGAGCGUAGUAAUCUUUCUCGCUUAGGGGACUGGUAGGUGCCUUGCCUUGAAACAAUUCUUUUAUUGUUGACCUCGGAUCAGGUAGGAAUACCCGCUGAACUUAA
Molecule: unclassified non-coding RNA, 200 nt
Filed under: soil metagenome
Description: partial contains internal transcribed spacer 2 and large subunit ribosomal RNA
Source: RNAcentral